This 345-nucleotide unclassified non-coding RNA is filed under the name soil metagenome. RNAcentral's name for it is "partial contains 5.8S ribosomal RNA, internal transcribed spacer 2, and large subunit ribosomal RNA". The stretch from base 1 to 120 matches the Rfam family "5.8S ribosomal RNA", at positions 35 to 154 of the family's 154-position model. The record is from RNAcentral.
GAUGAAGAACGUAGCGAAAUGCGAUAAGUAGUGUGAAUUGCAGAAUUCAGUGAAUCAUCGAAUCUUUGAACGCACAUUGCGCCCCCUGGUAUUCCGGGGGGCAUGCCUGUCCGAGCGUCAUUGCUGCCCUCAAGCACGGCUUGUGUGUUGGGCCUCCGUCCUCCUCCCGGGGGACGGGCCCGAAAGGCAGCGGCGGCACCGCGUCCGGUCCUCGAGCGUACGGGGCUUCGUCACCCGCUCUUGUAGGCCCGGCCGGCGCUUGCCGACACAUCAAUCUUUUUUCCAGGUUGACCUCGGAUCAGGUAGGGAUACCCGCUGAACUUAAGCAUAUCAAUAAGCGGAGGA